CACACAGUAAACGAUGAAUACUCGCUGUUUGCGAUAUACAGCAAGCGGCCAAGCGAAAGCAUUAAGUAUUCCACCUGGGGAGUACGCCGGCAACGGUGAAACUCAAAGGAAUUGACGGGGGCCCGCACAAGCGGAGGAACAUGUGGUUUAAUUCGAUGAUACGCGAGGAACCUUACCCGGGCUUAAAUUGCACCUGAAUAAUGUGGAAACAUGUUAGCCGUAAGGCAGGUGUGAAGGUGC
This 240-nucleotide ribosomal RNA is filed under the name uncultured Bacteroides sp. RNAcentral's name for it is "partial 16S ribosomal RNA". It matches the Rfam family "Bacterial small subunit ribosomal RNA", at positions 796 to 1041 of the family's 1533-position model. Lineage: Bacteria; Pseudomonadati; Bacteroidota; Bacteroidia; Bacteroidales; Bacteroidaceae. The record is from RNAcentral.